Molecule: long non-coding RNA, 173 nt
Organism: Carassius carassius (crucian carp)
Lineage: Eukaryota; Metazoa; Chordata; Actinopteri; Cypriniformes; Cyprinidae
Exons: 3
Source: RefSeq, a predicted model, not a curated record
AUUUAAAUUCGUGCAUCAUGCUCAAAAGUGUGCUGCUCAUCUGUUUCUUUAUACUACUUUUGAAUGAAGCAUCUGUCCAGGAAGUAGUUCAGGGUUUUAUCGGAGGUUCUGCAGUUUUGCCGUGCCAUCCUGGGAACAGAAAACUUACAGUCAUCAUUGCACACUGGAGGUAU